UAAAAAGAAUUUGUUUUCAUAGACUAUAACAACGCAUUCUUCAACUUUCUUCAAAACUUUAUUUUGUUUAGAGCUUGAUUUUGGUACAUUACAAUGUCUCAGAAGAAAGGCCACAUAGGCUAUUGCAUGGGAAACAGGGAUGUGGUCAAGGAAAAAAAAGUACACCUUUUCUCAAGAGCUCUGAUUUUGGAAAGUCAGCAUUUGACAUUAAUCAGAAAGGAAGUAGAAUAACAUCAUGUAUUGCAACUCUAGAGAAUGAUAUCACAGGACCCGGUGAUGGAAAAAUUCAAUUCAUCUGUGGAAUAUAAUGCAGGCUUGUAAAGAUAAAAGCCAGGAGGACUUGAGGUUUUAGGACUACCAGUUAGGUGAUAAAGGAAAAGAAAGUACAACACCCUCUGCUCAAGAGAUCUAGUCUUGGGAAGUCCGCAUUUAGUACUAAUCUGAAAGGAAGUAGAACAACAUUAUUUAUUGCAACUCCAGAGAUAGAUUGCACAAGAUCGGAGGUGGACAAGUUCAAUCCAUUAGUGGAAUGCAGUCUUAUCAAGAAAAAAUCCAGAGGGAGUUGAGGUUUGAGGACGACAGUUAGGUAAUAAAGGUGUACGUAACUUGAUUUCUUGUCUGUAGAUAUCAAAGAAAUCUACCUUGCAUUCAAUUAACACUUUUUAUACUUCAUGGUGGGUGAUUGGCAGGUCAGAAAGGUUGGUGUUCAUAGUGUUUCCAGUACACAGGGAGUGUCAUCGACAACACUCUAGGCCUUUCAUAUCACUUGUAUUUAACCAAUCAACUGUUGAUCAAACUUUUUAUCCUCAUUUUAAAUACAUUUGCAGUGGAAAGAACAGGGCUUGACAUAAUAAAAUGAAAAAUUCUACAGCAACUGCAUCUACCCAUUUCCGAAGUCAUAACAGUUCAUUUUCCAUAUAUUUCCCCCAAUACAUUAUUGAUAAACUCUUUUGCACUUGCAGUAGAGUUGAAUCUAGUGCCUCAGACGUUUCUCCUUUCUCCAUGGAUCCAUUCAAGACCGUUUUCACCUUUAAAACCAACUUCCAGUUCUUCCACUACGUCCAUUUUUUCUCCAUCAAGGAAUGCAUGGGCUUUAUCAACAUCUGCGACUGUAUCACAUAACAAUCUCCACUGCCUCCAUGUUCAGUGUCACCUUCCAAGUAUACUUCGUUAACAAAACUAUCAGGCCACUCCUGUUUUGUCAAAAGAACUUUUCUCCUUCUCCCGUUAUACCUAUAGGUGGCCAGCCACAAUCAACAUUAUGUUUCAAGCACUCCACUUGCUGCCAGUUAAAAUGCUUUUAAGUGUUUCUGAACGUUUAUGCAAUUAUAUCUCAUUUAUACUUAUCUGCCAUUGACUUUCAGUCAUAUAAAUAAUAAAAAAGGCACCUUAUGGUCGAUAAAAUCGGUGAAGAACUUCUAUUGUGGUGUUGUAUAUCUAAGCUAUUGCUAUUCUUGCAGCCUUUGUUCUUUGGUCCUCUGCAGCCAGAAAUGACUCCAUAAAGUUGGAGGAACACUUCAACAACCAACGCUUCUCACCCAUCAACUGUUACUCAGUACAGUUUGCCUGGCUCUUUUGAGGUUGAUAGUAUGCUGGAUUGUAAUCCAUGUAACUAAUCCUCCCAGCACCUGUUAUUUAAGAAGGGUCUAGUUGCUCAGAAAUUGGACUAGGAGUUGGUUAGCCAAGUAUCAACGACCAACAGAAUGUGGCUCAAGGAUCCUACCAAGUUUAGGUUUACGUUCUUGAACAAUGAUCUAUUGCCUUUUCCAUUCAGCAUUGCAUUGUACAUUAUCCUUAUGUGCUUGUGAAAGACAUGAUGCUUUUUGGAUGAAGUGUACAUAUGGAGAAGUGAGAACCUUGUGAGUUAAUUUGAUGUCUGUUCGGUGUGCUUUGUGACGUUGGUACCUUUGCCUUUGGUGCCUAGAUUGUUCUUUUUUUAAUUGUGUCUCUGGUCUUUUUCUCUAAAAACAUUUUCUUGCUACUUGUUUCAGCAUCCUUGGCAUACUCGUAUCGGUAAUCUUAACAUCUUUGACGCACGUGACUUUGGUAUUUGUGAUUAUUAUAUCCAUGUGCUUUUGCUUCGUUUAUCACUUUGGUCUUCGAGUGCAACAAACUGUGUUUUGACUCUUCUUUUCUCUUGAGAUAACAUAUGGCUUAAUGUUCUUUUUGUUCUUUCUUUUGGGGCAUGCUUUUGUAGGGUGCACGGCAGCUUUGGAUGCUGAACAUUACUUGCAAGAAAUCGGUGCCCUAGAGGGGCCUGUCUCUUCUUUUUCUUGCCCCUGUUAUCCUUAUUUGUACUUUCUCAUGCACCAGCUAUACCUUAACAUAUUUGCAGGUUUUACUUUCCGAGAAUCAUGGAAGUGAAUCCAUCACCAGUUACGCCUCCUGCUGAAACACAACCUUCAGUCCAAAUCUCGGUAGAGCACCCAAAUUUGGCAACAUCCAUCCUGUACGGAGUUUCUAGUUUACCUGUCUCUAACAACCCUGCUAUGAUCAGGCAAAAAUAUUCAUCGAUAAUUCGACAUUCAUCUCUAAGUAAAACAUAUGUUGCACCGAAAUACAAACCUACAAGUGAUAUACCAAAGGGGAGAAGUUGGAUUUUAUGUGAGGCUUGUUUAGUAGUUUGUGUCAUGCUUUGGUUGAUCGAUCAGAAGUGUAAGAAUAACACAUAUCAUAUGCAAAGAUUGCAAUUCUCUUUUUCAUGGAUGAAGAAAACGCUUCUGACGUAAAAAGGACAGAAGUCAUCAUCAUUCAAAGGGACUGGGAUUUUUCUAAAAUUUUCCCUUCUACCAACAAUGUUGAAGUUUGAGGUGGGAAUUCACUCAGGGUUCAAGGUGGCAAUAUUCCCUUCUACCACACAGUUCAAUUUUUUGGUUUAUUUUAUGAAACAGGGAUCAGGUAUUUCAUAUUUUUGGUAAACAAAAACUGUGGAACCUAGAUUUUACAAAAUCAAAACCAGUAGCGAAUAUGAAUUACCAGAAACUGAAUUGUUUUGGAUCACUGGUCUUGUAUUUGAAUGCAGGAACCUCUAAUUGGUGUUACGGCAUUCCAUGAGAGGUGUUCAUAUCCUUUGCUAACAACAAAAACAAAUCCAAUGUUAGUCCCAUAUGUGUGGUCUGGGAUAGAGUGUUCACAGACCCCUACCUUGUACACGUAAAGAGGCUCUUUCCAUAAGAUCCUCAGCACGAGUAAUGCAUAUCAAAGCAGUUAAAAAUUUGGUCUUUUCUACUAUUGUAAGAUAAUUGUAUCAGCAUAAAACAUCUAAAGAACAAUGUAAUAUUAUAGAGUUAUAGAUGAUAAGGGUAGGAUAAAUCUUAAAGGUGCAGAAAUAACUAGCAUUCCUAAAAUUUAUUUGAAAGUGCUUUCAAAUUGCGGCUUUCUAGUUAUGUUGAGAAGUCUAUAGGAAGCUUACCUGAGAUUUGGUGCUCUAUUAACCACGUUACCUUUUAUACAGGGGAACGAGAAGAAAUUGUGUGGAGAGUAUAUUUGAAGUAUUUCCAAAUAGAAUAAGUUGGUAUUUUAUCUUAACCUACAGGUUAUUUGCAUCUUAAUGUAUAUGUUUCUAUGUGUUUAUUUAUUGUAACAGGAUAAUUGUUAUUGCACUUUCUGACAUGACUUGAUCACAGGUAUGGAUUUAGAAAAGAAGUUGUUGAAUGCCACGAUAUAGCUUAUGAUGAACUAUCUAUAGACAUCUCUUCAUAGUUCCAUGGGGAAAUUUCCCUGUGUUGAGAAUAAAAUGACAAAAAAU
Molecule: unclassified non-coding RNA, 3748 nt
Filed under: Hevea brasiliensis (rubber tree)
Lineage: Eukaryota; Viridiplantae; Streptophyta; Magnoliopsida; Malpighiales; Euphorbiaceae
Source: RNAcentral